Molecule: long non-coding RNA, 646 nt
Organism: Gadus macrocephalus (Pacific cod)
Lineage: Eukaryota; Metazoa; Chordata; Actinopteri; Gadiformes; Gadidae
Exons: 2
Source: RefSeq, a predicted model, not a curated record
GGACAACACGGCUAACUUCAUAAUCCUCCCCGCUUAGUAUCCGUGUGUUAUGUCCGUCAAGUUCAGCAUCUCACAGAAGCCGCAGCAGUCAAGCGCACCGCAGGUGAGCAACAGGUUGCGCUCCACAAGUGGCGCCAAGGUAUUGACGCUAGAAGUGGAAGCGCCCCCCUCCAAAGUCCUGUUAAACCGUCCAGAAACCGAGGGGUCCUCAACCCUCAUGUACGUCCCCCUCUGGGGCAGACUGUGAAGCAGCCCCAGGCUGAGGUUGAGCUGGUACAGGUAGUCGCCGGUGACGACGUACACCCAGCGUGCGGCGACGGUGAAGUCACGGAUAUCUCCACCACGGGAGGGGAACCCGUCAACCUCCUGCAGACCGCGGCCCCCCCGGAGCCCACCGAGGGCGACGAAGAGCAGCAGCCACGCGAACACCAUGGUGCGGAACAGCAGAGUCCUGAGAGAGCGACCUACUGCCUGCUCAUCACGCGAGGAGACGCUAGAGUUCUGCCACCGUGCGUAAAGGCGCACGAAAACUCGUAAGAGGAAAGUUCCGGUUUACGCAAAAAGGGAAGUGGGCAAAACAUGGCAGUUUGGUGACUGCUUUUGAGCGUUUUCACAUUGAAUGGUGCUUACCGGAGAGGGAAGCAAA